RNAcentral lists this transfer RNA (68 nucleotides) under Tessaratoma papillosa. Its description in RNAcentral is "tRNA-His". The record is from RNAcentral. Lineage: Eukaryota; Metazoa; Arthropoda; Insecta; Hemiptera; Tessaratomidae.
GGGUUGAGAUAGUUUAAUAUAGAAUAAUAAUUUGUGGUAUUUUAGGUGAAAUUUAUUCUCUUGACCCA